GGCCUGGGCCUGUUUCAAAAUGGCGGCCUGCAAAAUCGUUAUAAACACGAGUAAACCCGAAUUCCUGUCAGUUGACGUGGCAGUUAUUGACGAACACAGUUCUAGGGAUACAAAAAACGAGAAAAGCGGAUUCCUAAAUAUGAUUUUUUUUUAACUUCAAAUAUGUGAGGGCAAACGUCGUGAGUUUUGUCCAAGGGGCCGCAACCGCGCCGGCAAAAUCCUUGUCGGCUCUUUUCUUCAUAUGAUUCACAAAGACCAUGGUCAUAGGGUUCUGUACUACAAGACCGCCGGCACCGUUCACCAUGGUUAGACCGACCAUUGCUCUGUACAUGCUCAUUUGAGCUUUCUCCUUGUCGCCUGUUGACAAAUGGAUAUAUUAAAAAAUUAUUUUUUUAA
Nematostella vectensis (starlet sea anemone) is the source of this 396-nucleotide long non-coding RNA. RefSeq lists it as uncharacterized. The transcript is spliced from 3 exons. The record is from RefSeq and is a predicted model, not a curated record. NCBI's taxonomy places the organism in Eukaryota, Metazoa, Cnidaria, Anthozoa, Actiniaria, Edwardsiidae.